UUACGUCUUCCUCUCUGUGGAUUCUACCUAAUAAAUACAAAGGGCUGUAGAAGCUCAGGGCCCUUGUUCCCUAGAAGCAAGGAGCCCUCUGACCCCUUCUUUAAAACAGAUCUUUUUGUCUUCAUUUCUGCAUUUGUCCUUCUUCAUUCAGUCCCGAACCGACAGCCACAAGUGGCGCCCGAACAGGGACGUGAGUGAAGAAGGUCUGCUGGAGCAGAGAAAGUGAAACUGACCAGAAGAAUGAGAAACCCCAGGACAAGUCUGCUGGCAGUGGAUAUAAGGAGAUGGACAAUCCGUGUGGGUGCCCUCAAGGUGUGUGUGACCAUGGAACGGGAGACUGGAGAAAUCCAUGGAUCUCAACUGUGGGCCCAGCUCCUCCAGUACGAGCCAUGAGCUAGUUGAAUCUGAAUGCAAAGACAGAACAAGGACCGACUGGAGUCACACUGACAUCAACCCCCAUAAAAUGGGGACAGCUCAAGAAAACCACACAGGAAGCUGAGAAACUGCUGGAGCAAAACCCCUGACUCCAUGUUUAUGGCCAUGCUAGCUGUAAUAUCCUGUGCGGUAUGUUUUCCCUGUGCAGAGGCAAAAACUUAUUGGGCAUAUAUUCCUAACCCACCAGUAGUACGACCGGUACUCGGGAGCAACACUCCUCCUGAGAUAUAUCAUGAUCAGGGAGCAUGGACACCAGGACCCCUAACUCCCCCUGACAGAGAGUGAUUAGAUUCUCAGAACAAUGGUAUCAAUUAUACUGCACCAUUGGAGGGACUUCUUUAUGUGUCACCCAGGAUGCAUCACUCAACCGCAGUUGCCUUGCAAUUCAGUCCCAAGCAUGCUUGAGUUACCAUGGAAAAAUUAUGUACCUAUUAGGCCUUAGCUCUAUUAAUAUUACUGGUGUAGUUACUAAUCACUCCUGGCCCCAUCACCCAAAUUGUAUUGAUUGUACAGAAUGGGCUCCCUUUGAUAAUUCUCACCCCUGUCCUUGGACUCAGUGUCUUGGCCCCUUAGCUAAACAACAGUCCAUGUUAAUGGGAGACAUUAUCGACUGGGGUCCCCAUGGUCAUUUAGAUGGGAGAAGUGAGAAUCAGACCUCAUGGCAUAAAUUUUGCUGGCACUGGUGGCGAAACUUGAACAUCUCUUCGCUACAUCCCAAUCUGCUACACAACUUGCUUGGCACAGAAUGGGCUUUAGCCCACCUUUGCCUCAAUGGCAUUAUCAAGGAAAGAGAGGUCCAAUUCAGGAGUCAAUAUGGAAGACAGCACUCCCAUUUAUGAAUGGCAGCAUUUGGGUUGGGACACUAUCCAAUAAUAGUAAUAAUGCUCAAUGCAGUUUUAAUGUUACCUUUGUAGAAAAUACUACCACACAGUUUACAAUUUGUAUUUUUAAUCCGUAUGUUUUUCUAGCAGCAAAAAAGGACCAACUCCGGGUAAACAAUGCCCAAUCGAUUUGUGAUGCCUGUCAACUGUAUCAUUGCCUUAAUCAUAGCACAAUACAAACACACAGCAUAUCCACCCUAAUAAUUCUAGGUCACAUUCCUGGAUUAUAGAUUCCUGUAAAUCUGUCCGAGCCUUGGGAGGCCACCCCCGCUUUACAUUUUGUAAAACUCCUUCUUAUUCAGCUUACUCAUCGUGCUCGUAGAGCUUUAGGCAUGAUAAUUUUUGCUAUAAUUUCCCUAGUCACACUAAUAACCUCUGCUGUGUUGUCCUCAGUAGCACUGCACAGCUCCAUUCAAACAGCUCAAUGUGUGAAAAAUUGGAUGUGCACAGCCGACCAGGAAUGGAUGCUUCAAAAUAAAAUUAACACCAAGAUACAAACAGAAGUGGCAAUGUUAAAGACUACUGUUCUGUGGCUAGGAUAACAAAUACAAAGCCUGAAGUUGCAGCAGCAAUUGCAUUGUCAUUUUAACCCUAUUCAUAUUUGUGUAACUAAUUUGGAAUAUAAUCAAAGUGAAUAUCCAAGGAACUUUGUAAAGGCCCAUUUACAGGGAGUUUUACAUUCAAUGUUACUUUUGAUAUUAAUGAUUCACAAAGUAAAAUCCUUAACUUGAAUAAGCAGACUCAAGUGCUUCAGCCCUCUUUAAAAGCUUGGGCAGAAUUCCAGCAAGGUUUAGGGAGCCUUAACCCUUGGACCUACUUCAAACAGCACCUCAAUGUCUUUUUUGUGAUUAUCGGAAUAAUGUUAUUAUGUUUCUGUUUUUUGUUCAUAGUCUGUAAAAUCAGCUGGACCACCAACCGGCAAUUGAGAGCUGCACAGCCUGCAAUUACCUUUAUUCAAUUAAUACAAAAACAGAAAAGGGGGGAGGUUGGAGGCCGAAAGAAUGAGGGUCGUGACCAACUCAGUAUACCACUGGAGGCUAUAUGAGCAAACAGCAAACUGUUCUCAUGAAUGCAGGAUGCUGGCAAGCUGACAACUGCAUCUGCCACCAGAAGGAAUGCUGAGGGCAGUCAUACCCCACGUGCAGUGUUCCUUGUGGUUAUCUAUAGGAACAUCUGGAGGCUGUUGUAUAAAGAAAGCAAUUAUGUGAGCCUGUGAUAAAUCAAGCAGCUGACCAACCAUUACCUCUUCCUCCCUGUUGAUUCUACCUAAUAAAUACAAAGGGCUGUAGAAGCUCAGGGCCCUUGUUCCCUAGAAGAAAGGAGCCGCCUGUCUCCUUCUUUAAAACAGAUCUUUUUGUCUUUGUCUUCAUUUCUGCAUUUGUUCUCUUUUGUUCAGUCCCAAACCGACAGCCAUAGGCCAGGAUGGUCUUGAUCUUUUGACCUCAUGAUCUGCCCACCUCGGCCUCCCAAAGUGCUGGGAGCCACCACACCCAGCCAAAGAUGCAGUAUUAAGUCAUAAUCGUGCAUGUGUGUAUGUGUGUGUUUGAAUAGACAGAGUCUCCCUCUGUCGCCCAGGCUGGAGGGCAGUGACAUGAUCAUAGAUUGCUGCAUACUCAAACUCCUGGGCUCAAGUGAUCCUUCUGCGUCGGCCUCCCCAGCAGCUGAGACCACAAGCACAUGCCACCACACUGGCUAAUUUUAAAAUGUUUUCUGUACAGGCUGGGCAUGGUGGCUCACACCUGUAAUCCCAGCAUUUUGGGAUGGUUGGCAGGUCCCAGAAGUUUGAGA
Molecule: long non-coding RNA, 3104 nt
Filed under: Homo sapiens (human)
Lineage: Eukaryota; Metazoa; Chordata; Mammalia; Primates; Hominidae
Description: long non-coding RNA NONHSAT068245.2
Source: RNAcentral